AGUAACGCGUGAGGAACCUGCCUCAAAGAGGGGGACAACAGUUGGAAACGACUGCUAAUACCGCAUAAGCCCACGGUGCCGCAUGGCACAGAGGGAAAAGGAGCAAUCCGCUUUGAGAUGGCCUCGCGUCCGAUUAGCUAGUUGGUGAGGUAACGGCCCACCAUGGCGACGAUCGGUAGCCGGACUGAGAGGUUGAUCGGCCACAUUGGGACUGAGACACGGCCCAG
RNAcentral lists this ribosomal RNA (227 nucleotides) under uncultured bacterium. RNAcentral describes it as "partial 16S ribosomal RNA". It matches the Rfam family "Bacterial small subunit ribosomal RNA", at positions 109 to 334 of the family's 1533-position model. The record is from RNAcentral.